RNAcentral lists this long non-coding RNA (1110 nucleotides) under Junco hyemalis (dark-eyed junco). Its description in RNAcentral is "lncRNA (ENSJHYG00000000625.1)". Lineage: Eukaryota; Metazoa; Chordata; Aves; Passeriformes; Passerellidae. The record is from RNAcentral.
CACCCGGCCAGACCCAGCCAGACCCGCUCAGCCCCAGCCGGCCCCGCUCAGCCCCGGCUCAGGCCGCCCCCACCGGGGGAUGCCCGGGGGCAGCGCCGUUACCUCGGGGUAGUUCUGGCCGAAGGACUCUGCGAAGGAACGGGAAAGCAGCGGCUGAGCGAGAGGCGGCCCCGCCGCGCCCGCUCCGGUACCGGCACCGGCCCUCCCCAUAUUCCCGGUGCCGCCGCUGCCGGCUCCAGCCCUGCCCCGCUCCCGGUGCCGCCCCCUCGUUCCCGCUCCCAUUCCCAUUCCCAUUCCCAGCCGCGCCUCCCUCGCUCCCGUUCCCGUUCGCACUGGGCAGCUCCAGGUUCGUGGUGCCGCCGUCCCGCCCCCGUUCCCUCCCCGCCGCCUCCGGUCCCGCAGUGCCCGCUCCGGUUCCCAUUCCCUCUCCCGUUCCCUCUCCGGUUCCAUUCCCAUUCUCGCUCCCACUCCUGUUCCUUUCCUGCUCCCGCUCCCCAUUCCCGCUCCCGUUCCCGCUCCCAGUCCGGUUCCCUCUCCCGCUCCCCUUUCCCCAUUCCCGCUCCCGUUCCCCCUCCCGCUCCCCGUUCCUAUUCCCGUUCCCAUCCCCGCUCUCACUCCCCGCUCCCGUUCCCUCUCCGGUUCCCAUCCCCGCUCCCGUUCCCUCUCCGGUUCCCGUUCCCCGUUCCCAUUCCCGUUCCCGCACCGAGCAGCUCCAGGUUCAUCGCGCCGCCGCCGCCGCUCCCGCUCCCUCCGCUCCCGUCGCCGAAGGACCCCGCAGGGGCCUGCCCGGCGCCGCGCGUCGCCGUUCGCCUGCCCAACCGCCGCUGCUUUUCCCCGCUCCGGCCACUGCUCCCGGCACUUCCCGGGCCGGCUCCGCCCGCUCCUCCCGGCGGGCUCGGGGAGCGGCGCCGCUCGCUCCCGGUGCGGCGGCGGCGCCGGGAAUGGGCGGCGGCGAUCAGGCAGAGCCGCGGGCAGCCCCGGCGCGGAGCGCGGAAUGGGCCGGGUGGGCCCCGCGGCCGCGCAGGAAGGUUCCGGGAAAGGGGGAGCGGUAAUAAAGUAGCACCAGUAAUUAAAUUAAUUAAAAUAAUUUUUAUUCUAAUAAUUAACUGA